Molecule: ribosomal RNA, 440 nt
Filed under: uncultured bacterium
Lineage: Bacteria
Description: partial 16S ribosomal RNA
Rfam family: Bacterial small subunit ribosomal RNA
Source: RNAcentral
CCUACGGGAGGCAGCAGUGGGGAAUAUUGGACAAUGGGGGAAACCCUGAUCCAGCGACGCCGCGUGAGUGAAGAAGUAUUUCGGUACGUAAAGCUCUAUCAGCAGGAAAGAAAAUGACGGUACCUGACUCAGAAGCCCCGGCUAACUACGUGCCAGCAGCCGCGGUAAUACGUAGGGGGCAAGCGUUAUCCGGAUUUACUGGGUGUAAAGGGAGCGUAGACGGCAGCGCAAGUCUGGAGUGAAAUGCCGGGGCCCAACCCCGGAACUGCUCUGGAAACUGUGAAGCUGGAGUGCAGGAGAGGUAAGCGGAAUUCCUGGUGUAGCGGUGAAAGGCGUAGAUAUCAGGAGGAACACCGGCGGCGAAGGCGGCUUACUGGACUGUAACUGACGUUGAGGCUCGAAGGCGUGGGGAGCAAACAGGAUUAGAUACCCCGGUAGUC